UAAAGGCGGUCCAACAAAAUAUUAGAGAGUGUGACCAUUUUUUGGUGGCGACUUUUUUUUUGGCCAGGCAGUGUAUAAUUUGAGUCGUGUUUUAUUCUCUAUGUCUUCCAAUCCAAACUAAAAAUAGAAUGUAGUACAACCGUUGGUGUCUUCUCACCUCACCUUCUCCCCACAAUAAGAGUAUACAUUUGGGUGUGAAAUAUAUACAUUGAUUACGACACAAUAUCUUGUAUGCUCAUGAUGAGUCAUUUUCUCAUCAAAAAAUAUUUGCAUAUUCUCGGAUCUCCAUGGAAACCAUUCGGUAGUGCUUCAAUGCUUCCUCAUGCAAAGCGCAGCCCAUUUACUCAAAGCUCCAUCUUGGAGAGGCAGUCCCCGGCUGAGCUCCCACCCCACAGAGCACCCCUCAACUUCGCCUCUCUGGCAGAUGUCCUCAGCCUCUUCUGACUCUUCUUCUGGUUUCCUCCCAACUAUUUCCUCCACAUUCUCACUCCUCUUCUUCUCACUAGCUGUUGACUCUGCCCAGAUCCUUGUUCUUCAGUUGUCAGAAAUGUAACAUUGUGUUGUGUUCUGGCUAUAUUGUUGCCACUGAUGUUUCACGAGAUGCACCUUCAAUCUGUUUCAGAAAACUGGUUGAUCAUUGGUUCCCAGUGAACCAUGAGCUAAUGAUUCAUACAUUGACCUGUUAGAGAAACUCAGGACUCACUUGGGAGCAAUUUAUCAAUUCAGGACAGAUUUAAAACAAAAUCUAAUAUAAAUUAAUAAAAAUAUGAUUGAUGUUAUGACAACUUCAAGACUUAUGCAUGUUAAGACUUAGACUAUGCUGUUUUGGAAGUUGAGACAAUUCAACAGAGACCUGUUUAAUACAUUUUGAUCAACAUGAUUAAAGCUAAUUAAAAUGGGGGGGGGAAGCAGAUGUAGCAAGUGUGUAAAACUGUUUAUAUUCCACCUCAAAUCCAUCCUCAUUACCUGUGUAUAUUUGUUUUUCUUAGUUUUUGAAUUGUAUUUUAUUUUGGCGGAGAAGCUUUUAUUUUCUUGUUUCCUGUCUCCUCGUCAUAUCCUGUGUGUUCGCGCAGCCCUCCUCAGUUCGCGCCAAGCUGCGCUGGGGAGAGGUAAGCGUACAAAGUUGUCUUCUGUUUGUCUGUUAAAGUAUUCAAAAUGUCCUUGAAAGUAUGUUUGCCGAACUCACAAGUUGUUAUAUGUUGUUCCCCAACUGUUUUAUGUUUAGCGCAGCACUGUACUGGGUACUUAAUUCCCACGUUAAUAACAUUUAUUGAGUUUACCGUGCCAAUGUGGUCAUUUUUGUUCUUUUGAUUGGUUAAGGUGUGUGUGGGAAAGCCAGAGCCCAAGAACUGGAGUGCUGAUACAUUUUUGUUUUAAACAGAAUAAAUCUGCCCUACUGCUGCAAUACACCCCGGUGUCCUCGUCUCCUGGUUCCCUUUGCCGAUUACACACAACGCAGAGUACAUGUACAACAGAUGAGUCGGAUGAGAGCGGCUACACAGAGAAGUGCACAAUCAGUUGCAUAAUGUACAAAAGCAUUUGCAACUAGCUCAAAGGUAUGAGAAACUACUUUUUUGAUGUGCAGAAGUGACACAAUAAUUUCAAGAUUGAAGUAGUUUUAAGAAUUUUAAUUCUGUUCUGAGAAAUGCACCCAAACUGAGAAAAACUGUUAAACUGUAAAAUAUUUAAUAUUUAAAUAUCCUUAACUUAAAACCCUUUAACUGUCAUGGACCCAGUGACUUUAAUGUAAAUAUUUUGGGGGUGACAGUCAAGAGAUUAAAGGAAAAUAUUAAAUAUUAGCUCUGACACCAAGCUUCCAAGUAUUACCAAAGUAAUGAAACAAAAGCUAAAGUGUUCUUCACGGUUUUAACUUGCAUGCACUAACAUUUCACACUCAAAGUAAUUCAAAGAAUUACUGAACCAAACUUGAAAAAGUUUCUUCUGUCAUUAACAAUAACUUUAAGGAUACGCAGACUAAAGUAGACCUGAAAUAAUAUUUGAAGCAUCUAAAUAUAUCUAUGCAGUCGUUCCUACAGAAACAUUAAUGGAAGUGUUGCGUCUGGGAAAAUUAGCAUUAAAUGUUCCAUAUAGCAAAAAUGUCUAGCUGCAAUGCAUGUACAUAAACAGUGUGGCUCAGAAAUUACAGGGAAACAUUUCAUCAGUUGGUUCAAGUUAGCUAAGUUCAGUUAAAACUGUGAAAGGGGCUCACCUGUGAUGAAGAAAUGUGUUGUCCUUUUCCUCCUCCUGAACGCGCAGAAAUAACAGAAACUUGAUUUCAACGGCUCUCUCAAUUCAGUAGCCGCAUCUUGAUAAGGACCAGGCCUACAUGGCUCUACGCACCAUGAGCUAGCACCUGCUAUUUAGCAGCUUUAGCUAGUGCACAAGGACUGUUGAUACUGUGGUGAGUUCAGGACACCACAGUAUCCUGAGCCAUGCGCAACUGCAGGAUCAGAGCUAAAAGAAUCUUGCUGCUGAUGCUGCUGGAUCAAGCAGAAAUACAAACUAGAGAACUCUGUGUUUACAUGACAAAUAACAGUAACUCUAUUAACUGUAAACCCUGCUGUUUAACACAAUAACAAAAUGAAAAAGUCUCUAGAUUAUUCUCAACUAAUAGCACAAUAUUUAAAACCAAGUGUGUGAUUUGUGAAACUUCAAUAAAAGUUGAUUUCACAAUUUUAUGUUUUUGGAUAACACUAGACCUGCUCUAAUUUCAAAACUAUGACACUUAUCUUCAAAGCUUGACUAGAUUAUUCUGCUCUAAUAGCAGAAUAUCUAAAACCAAGUGUGGGAUUUGUGAAACUUCAAUGAAGGGUGGUAUCACAUUUUUUAUGCAUCUGGAUCACACUAGAAUUACUCUUUAUUGAAGUUUAACAAAUCCCACACUUGGUUUUAAAUAUUCUGUUAUUAUAUUAUUAUAAUAUUAGUUGAGAAUAAUCUAGUCCAGGUUUGAAGAGUCUAGGUGAUAUAGUUUUUUAGCUAGAGUAAAUUAAAGAUGCUGAUGGUAGUGAAAAAUUAGGUGGAAUCGCCCUUUAGCCAUUUCCUAUAUUGGAAGCUGCAAUUUGAAACCAACUUCAGCUUCAUGCAAGCAGCAAGCCCUAACAUAGAGUUCUCUUAAUAUAUGACAAAUCUAUGGUUAGCAUAAAAUUAAAUAAUCACAAAUGCAUCACUUAAUAAAAGCCUCUCAUAAAUGAUGGUGGCGUCGGCUCUAGGAGUUUGCCUUGCAAUUGGUGGUUCGCCAGUUCGAUUCCUGGACUACAUUUGAGAUUUCAGUUUGACAUAUAAAAGGCAUUAUUAA
Molecule: long non-coding RNA, 3295 nt
Organism: Xiphophorus hellerii (green swordtail)
Lineage: Eukaryota; Metazoa; Chordata; Actinopteri; Cyprinodontiformes; Poeciliidae
Exons: 2
Source: RefSeq, a predicted model, not a curated record